GUGGGGAAUUUUGGACAAUGGGCGCAAGCCUGAUCCAGCAAUGCCGCGUGCAGGAAGAAGGCCUUCGGGUUGUAAACUGCUUUUGUACGGAACGAAACGGUCCGGGUUAAUACCCUGGGCUAAUGACGGUACCGUAAGAAUAAGCACCGGCUAACUACGUGCCAGCAGCCGCGGUAAUACGUAGGGUGCAAGCGUUAAUCGGAAUUACUGGACGUAAAGCGUGCGCAGGCGGUUUUGUAAGACAGGCGUGAAAUCCCCGGGCUCAACCUGGGAAUUGCGCUUGUGACUGCAAGGCUGGAGUGCGGCAGAGGGGGAUGGAAUUCCGCGUGUAGCAGUGAAAUGCGUAGAUAUGCGGAGGAACACCGAUGGCGAAGGCAAUCCCCUGGGCCUGCACUGACGCUCAUGCACGAAAGCGUGGGGAGCAAACAGGAUUAGAAACCCGGGUAGUCC
Molecule: ribosomal RNA, 450 nt
Filed under: uncultured bacterium
Lineage: Bacteria
Description: partial 16S ribosomal RNA
Rfam family: Bacterial small subunit ribosomal RNA
Source: RNAcentral